Molecule: long non-coding RNA, 1498 nt
Organism: Myodes glareolus (Bank vole)
Lineage: Eukaryota; Metazoa; Chordata; Mammalia; Rodentia; Cricetidae
Source: RefSeq, a predicted model, not a curated record
UUGGAACUCACAGAGACCCGCCUGCCUCUGCCUCCCAAGUGCUGGGAUUAAAGGUGUGCGUCACCACCACCCGGCUUUUUUUUCUCUCUUGAUAAGAGCCAUUGGGUCUUGUUCUGCUUCACUCAUGGGGAAUAGGCCUACCAAAAUCCGUUUUCCGGCACUUUAUAUCCUGAUAUUUUACAGGACUUUUGCAACAUUCUGCCAGAACCGUGAUAGAUGAUGAAAGAGGUAUCACCCCUUCACCCUUUCCCUCUCCUGCUUUCCCUUCCCCAAUAGACCUCUUACAUUAACUCUGUUGCGUGCAGCAUGCUUGCUUAGUGAUAGUCUACCAAAAUGUAAUCACUACCCAGCUGCUCCACCCUCAACAGAUCUGUUCUCUUCCACCUGCAACAACCUGCUUUUGCGUUCACUGGUGGCUUCGUCUUCUAUUCGUCUUCUAUUCAGUAUUGACAACUGGGUCUCUUACACGGCUACCCACCUCUGACCACUCCCCUGGAUGUGAGAUUUCAUUUCUCAAGCACAGUCCUCUCCUCGACUUCCGGCUUUUCUUGAAGUACUGGCACCAGGUGACUGUGUCUCUCUUGGGCUCAGAACCCUUGGCCCCUGCUCUGUGUUUGAAUCGCUGAGCAACCUGUGCUGUCUCAAAAUCGACCCUCUCUGAAUUCCUGGGACACUAGGAAUUGCAGCCCCUUGGGUCUUCUCUGCCUUGCUCAUGGGAACUGUGUGGUCCUUUAUACCUCCUCGCUCCCGCUGGGAUGGUUUUGGAGCCCCACUGACCAUUCCUAACCAGCUAUUGUUGCAGGACUACCGGCUGUUGGCCAUAGAGCUGGAGGUGCAAGACGACCAAACAUGUCUGGGUGGUGAGAACCAGCAGCACCCCAGAGGGACAGUUUCUCUGAUGACAGCUGAAGGUCCUUCACAGUGGCUCCCCUUCCAUCUGAUGGUGUCACAGUAGCUCCUUUCUUCCUGAGCUCCAGACUCUGCGCAGCCCACCAGACAUCUCCCUCCACUGUUAAAAUGGGAGCUUUCAGUCUUCUCCCGGUGCCGGGCCUGCCGCUCGCUGCCUUGCCUUCCCACCACGGAGGACUCUUACACCUGGAGCUGUAAGCCCCGAAUAAAGCCUUCCGUAAGUUGCCUUGGCCACGGUGGUUCCAUCACAGCAGCAGAGGAGCAGCUGUUGGAGCACAGACCUAGAAUGGAGUCACGUGAGAAGAAUCCAGCGUGCGCGUGAGAAAACAAGACGAAAGUCUUGGGGCCUCCGUUUCUUCAGAACACGGAAUUGUUCUUGGGAUGUGCACUUGUGCUCCGGAACAGCAGAUAGGCCUGCGGUUACUUCAGAUUGUUCACUACGACUGGCUAGUGUCGCUAUGGAAACCCAGGCCUUUGCAGCUGUGGCUUGCCCACCACACGCUGUUUGUCCUUGUGAAUGGAUGCUUUACCCAGGAGACUCUUAACUCUCGGGGUAUAAACUGUCUGAAUAGAGACGGCUAUCACAUGA